CUCACACACACACAUACAACACAACACACUCCUCCAUCAGGGAGGCGUUGUUCGGAGCUGAUAAAAAUAUCCAUGUUUAUUCACUGUAUUGCAAAAUACAGAUGUGCAUACGUUUAUAUUAUUUAAUAGAAUAUUAUUUAUAUUAUUUAACACUGAAAUUUGCGUCGCGUAUUUCUGGAUUUGUACAGCGUGUGCGAUUGCGCGCUCAAGUUUGUUUGCUGGCUUCCAUUACUAAUGGAGUCAUCCGUGCUGUGCAUGAAGAAACUAACAACAUCAGCCACCAACCGUCCACUCGUGCUAAAGAUGACCUGUGCAAUGUUAAAGACUUAACGGAUUCAGAACAGGCUGAUAUGGACAAUAAAAUAGUGUUAUUAUUAUAUAGUCUUUGUUCUUGUGAGCAGAUAGCUGUAAUGGCGCUAGUGUACCGACAGAUGCUCCUCGCGCAGCAUUACAUCUAAGGGAUGGUCCACUGUAUGAAGAACGUUUGGGUAUGAUAUGUCACAGGUCACAUGAAUGAACUACAGUGUCCUGCACCCACUAA
Molecule: long non-coding RNA, 541 nt
Organism: Cyprinus carpio (common carp)
Lineage: Eukaryota; Metazoa; Chordata; Actinopteri; Cypriniformes; Cyprinidae
Exons: 2
Source: RefSeq, a predicted model, not a curated record